UACGGAGGGGGCAAGCGUUAUUCGGAUUUACUGGGCGUAAAGAGCGCGCAGGCGGUCGUUCAAGUCGAGUGUGAAAGCCCCCGGCUCAACUGGGGAGGGUCACUCGAUACUGAUCGACUUGAAGGCAGGAGAGGGAAGCGGAAUUCCCGGUGUAGUGGUGAAAUGCGUAGAUAUCAGGAAGAACACCGGUGGCGAAGGCGGCUCGCUGGGCCAGUUCUGACACUCAUCCGCGAAAGCGUGGGGAGCAAACAGG
Molecule: ribosomal RNA, 253 nt
Filed under: uncultured bacterium
Lineage: Bacteria
Description: partial 16S ribosomal RNA
Rfam family: Bacterial small subunit ribosomal RNA
Source: RNAcentral